GACGAACGCUGGCGGCGUGCUUAACACAUGCAAGUCGAACGGAAAGGCCCUGCUUUUGUGGGGUGCUCGAGUGGCGAACGGGUGAGUAACACGUGAGUAACCUGCCCUCGACUUUGGGAUAACUUCAGGAAACUGGGGCUAAUACCGGAUAGGAGCUCCUGCUGCAUGGCGGGGGUUGGAAAGUUUCGGCGGUUGGGGAUGGACUCGCGGCUUAUCAGCUUGUUGGUGGGGUAGUGGCUUACCAAGGCUUUGACGGGUAGCCGGCCUGAGAGGGUGACCGGCCACAUUGGGACUGAGAUACGGCCCAGACUCCUACGGGAGGCAGCAGUGGGGAAUAUUGCACAAUGGGCGGAAGCCUGAUGCAGCAACGCCGCGUGCGGGAUGACGGCCUUCGGGUUGUAAACCGCUUUCGCCUGUGACGAAGCGUGAGUGACGGUAAUGGGUAAAGAAGCACCGGCUAACUACGUG
This 468-nucleotide ribosomal RNA is filed under the name uncultured bacterium. RNAcentral's name for it is "partial 16S ribosomal RNA". It matches the Rfam family "Bacterial small subunit ribosomal RNA", at positions 28 to 507 of the family's 1533-position model. The record is from RNAcentral.